This is a non-coding RNA of Rhopilema esculentum, 4505 nucleotides long. The record is from RefSeq and is a predicted model, not a curated record. Lineage: Eukaryota; Metazoa; Cnidaria; Scyphozoa; Rhizostomeae; Rhizostomatidae.
GAGCAUAAAUGGCACGAGUGCCACUGUGCUUGAGAAAAAUUCUUUCAUGUGUGUCUCGCAUUAAAACCAUUGAAAAAAUCAGAGUUUGCUAAAAUACAUCUGCAAAAAUGGAAGGCUGCAUCAAACAUCUCUCAGCGCACAUAGUAACUGUUUUAGUGAAAAUGAUAUUUAGCAGAUGUGACACGCAGCUAGUGGACCAGAGGGUCUAAAACUAUAACAGUUUAAGCUUAUAUUUUAUAUUCUGACGCCGGUGGUCCUUGAAAGGAACAAACAAGAAGAUCCCCUCAAAUUCUUGAGUUGUCUUGCAAAUGAGUCUUUUACGUAAUCUCUGUCCGUUAUUAGAGCGCAUGCACGAAACUUGUAGCCUGCCAUGUAGGCGUUGACAGACGUCGCCAUUCGGAUAGAAGAAAUAUUUAGAAUUCUUGAAUAUUCAUCUUAACCAAUAUCUGAGAAGUGUACUACAUAAAGAUUAAUGAAAAGGGAAAUCUCUCUUUUGCUUGAAAGCGUCGGGACAUCAGUUGAAUUUAAUCUGUAGGAAGUGAAGUUAUUCGUUUUCGCUGCCAUUUCCUAAAAGAAGCCGAGGUCCGGAUAAUCUCUGUUUGAUCUCUCUAAUGAUCUAAAGAUAAAAAAAAUUUUCAAAAACUUUCACUCCUGCAACCUUUUUCAGUUUUGCUCCUCGUUUUUAUGAACAACUCUGCAAAUCAUUUGAUAAUGAGCAAAAGUAGCAAUUCGAUUAACUAUUAAAGGAAAACUUCACGUCAUAUUUUUAUGUAAUUACGCCAGUUCUUCGAUAGGCGCAAAUUUUGAAAGAAAGAAGGCAAUAGAAAUGCAGAAAAGCAACACGUUAAUUAUGCGAAACUUAAGAUAAUCUUCAUUUUGCAGUAAAACAGAUAAUUCUGACUAUUUGAAUUGGCCAUCUGCAAAAUUCUUAAGUUUAUCAAUUAAGAGUGACUAAAUUGAAUAACCAAAUUUAUAAAUCUCGAUAAAAUUGUUGGUACUACUAAAAAGUUCGGAUAGCUUUAUCAAAUUUUUUUUGACAGCAUUUUUCAGGCAAAGGCGUACUUGUAUAGAAAGCUGUUUUUUAACUUAUGAAUCAGAAGAUAUCUUGCUUGAACUUUUAAAGGUAUUAAAGCUUAAAAUAAGUUAGACAAUAGUUUUGAAUUUUGUUCAAGAAACAAGAUACGGGUAAGGUAAAACUUCCGAAACAGACUUUUAGAAACCAGGCUUUUUGUAUCCGAAUUUGACGGUAUAAAGUUUAUGAUUUUGUAAAAUUAUAAAAAAGGUUUGAAAAUUUUUACCUUCUGUCAGAUUUUGACCUGACUUGAGAUUCAUAUCCUUAAUUGUGACUUCCCAAAAUGUUUUUUACGAAACUCGAAACUCUGCGUUCAGUUAUCAAGAAAACAAAUGCUAGCUGAACCAAGUUGGCAAAUAAGACACAAGUUAAUCAUUUUCUUUAACAGUUAUUAUGCUUGAGAAUGUGUAACAUCAAUUUUACCUGCUUAGAUUCGUAAAUUAAAGCUGUUUCAACUCCUAUUCUUCUGCUGAAUCACUAAUGCCGAUACAACAUUUUGUUAAGCCAAAUUGCCACCCCAUCUCCAAAACUGACUUCCUCACUGUGGUUUCUCAAUCAUUUUAUUUAUGUUUGGAUUUCAUGAUACUUUCAAGCGGAAAAGGAAACUCUUCAUAUUUACAAAUGGUCCAGACAAAGUAACUAUCAUCUCAAAUAAGGAUUUAACCGCGGCAUUCGUUCAGUCCUCGUGCCAGGGCAGAUGAUUUCGCGUUUCCAUGCCAAGGCAGAUGACGAGAAACAGUUUCUUUAAAGUUUGAUGCUACAAGACUGCCGUAAGGUUAAGACUGUCGUUGGCAAAGAACCAUUGGCAAGAGGACUUGUGAAGGGUAGAUAUUAAGAAGUCUACUAGGGGCUGCAGAGGCGCUGCAAAAACCAGCCAACGUUGAGAAGAACGGUUUAAAAGGCGUGGCUCAAAAUUUGUUCACCAAUUUGUUACUUUAACACGAGUAACCACAGACUUGACGUAUUCACCUAUUUCAAUUUUAAAGAUGGAAUCUUGGAGUAGACAUGAAUUAAGCUGGCUUUACUGCAUAUCAUUAUUUAUAUUGAUCCCAACAAUUGCAGGUAUGAUUUUUUUAAAUUUAUUCUUUAUGAUUUUUCGCUUUGUAAUACGUUUGUGUAAAUUUCAGCAUUUUGAGCAGAAAAGUUAUAAAAUAUUUCUACAGUUUAAUAAUCGUUAUGAUAGACACCAUCCAUAAAAAAUAUCAUUAUGUUGGCUUGUAAUUAGGCAAAAGCAACAAUAGAUUCAUGACUUCAAACCAUUUUCUGGAUAAGAUUGGAGAGCAGCUUUUUCAAUCCUUGCUACUAAGGUGGAUGGGGGAGGGGCAUAACAGGGGUAUGAAUUUUUCAAGAGACUAUAAUUGGAUGAAAAACUUUUUUCAUAAAAAAGAAUUCAUGCAUAAGUAUCAAUAAACGCUAAGAAUAUGGAAGAUAUUGUGAUUAUUUCUAAUAGCAUAGAAUUAUAAUUUCAUAAUUUUUCGCUUUAAUUAAGCUUUAUAACUUAUUUCUUUCUUCAGCUUGCUUUACUUUUUUUUUCCUUUUAUGUCACUUGACUUCAAAUAAGGCUCUUCCAUUCUUUGGACUGCUUUCUCCGCUUUUAAAAAAAAUUUCCAAUGCACAAGAACAGAAUAUAUAGUCGAGGCCCCUCUCGCAAUUUCAAGGAAAAAGAAACGGAUUUUUUGAAAAUAAUUGGCCUUGUAUACUUCUGCCGUGCUCUGGCUAAUGGGUGAAGUGAUACGCAAUUCAUUCUCGCCUGUUUACAUCUAUACUGCUCGUCUGUUUGGUACUGUUGUUUUUUAUUUACAAAAGCAACCAUCGUCUGGAAACCGUAUAAAUUGCGUAAGAGAAUGUUGCUUUCUUCCACUCUGCUGUUUUUGCCUCUUGGUUGUGUUUUGUUUUUCAGCAAUUUUUCCGUGAAUAGCCAUCUUAGGUAAAUAAACAUCCCAUAACGUUAUUGGUUUUGUAAGAACAUUCUUACGUAAGCGACUAUUGUGCUUGAAGGAUAAACAUUACGUCUGAGAUUUCGGUAGCUAUCUUUAUGGGACUGAUUUUCCUGACACGAUUUGUGUUUUCUAUUAACGUCAUUCCAGAACGCAGAGCCCAGUAAGCACGGUUGUCACACGAUCAAUGACCGUGAAAGAGGCCAACGUAAACAAAACAAAAAAGAUUGCCACACCCAAUGCCCACCCUCUUUCUAAUUUAUCUGCAAGGAAGGUCUUUGGAGCUUAAAGGUUUUGUCCGAAUGAGGGAAAAGCAUUUUCUGGACACUGUUGAGCAGUUUACCUCAGAACGUUCAGUUUUGAAAUUGCCUGAUGAAAUUUCCUUUCACUCCAUCUGUAUUGCGCAGUUGAGCAUGAAUUCUUCUUGAGGAGAAGGAGCAUCGAGAACGGGAAAGGCGUUUACUCGCAGCAUCAGAGAAGAUAAUACAUUGGACUCCAAUCGUUUAGUGCUAUGCAAAAAAGCACACAACGAUGGACCUAUAUCUACUUGUUGGUCAAAUCAUGGCUGCUUCGUGAGACAAAUAUAUGAACAAGGUUCAAAGAAAUCAAAAUUUAUAACGUAUGAUUGCAUCCAAAAUAUUGAGUUGUUUCAACAUUUUAUUACCUGUGGACUGAACUACAAGCCAGGUGGAAGUACGACAUUUCAUUAUGGAAUGGGGAAAGUCCGGGUCUUGUCUCUAUGUUGUGGGAAGACAUUUUGUAACAAGGCAAUACCAACAGUACCUGGCGAAAAUUGGAUCAAUUAACCGUUUGGAUUUACCAUAUUGCCCUGUACCAACUUUAUAAAAACCUGAUGAACUGGUAGUAAGAACCGAUUACCCAAGCUCAAAACAGGGAAUGAACGUCUCUAACGAAGAUAGUUGCUGUGAGUAUUCUUUCAGAUGAACAGAGGCAACUUGUGUAUAUUUAGAUACAGUGAAAGAACAGAACAAACAGGGGACACUUUUCAGCACAUGCGCAGAUACCCUUUUACAAACGACAUUUUAUAUGAAAAUGCGAAGAUAUUAUAUUAUGUGAAGUAUUUUAUAACCAUUUUUGAAAAACCAUCAGUAUUUAUUCAUUUUAUAUAACCAAGUUGAAAAUGUUUCUGAUAUUUAAGAUUCUAAUUUUUUUCUAUUUAUAUCACUUUUUAGAUUGAGACUUCAAUUUCUUUAAACGAUAUCUAUGUCUGAUAAAUUUCUUCACUUAUCAAAGUAAUGCCGCGUAACAUUAAAAUAUUGUUUCAUUGCAAUACAGAGUUGAAUGCUCUCCGCAAGAUACAUUUAAGAAUUUUGCGGUUCGAAUGAUAAGAUAAACUUUUAGAAACAUAUGUUUAUGAACUUUCUUUACAAGUGAAACUUUUUACCGUCGGUUUUCCAGCCUCUUGGCUAAACUUUACCGGGUAUAAUUGCCCCUGCUUCUCUGCUGCCCCCAUUGUCCCUAAUGCUCCCAUCGCU